Molecule: ribosomal RNA, 442 nt
Filed under: uncultured bacterium
Lineage: Bacteria
Description: partial 16S ribosomal RNA
Rfam family: Bacterial small subunit ribosomal RNA
Source: RNAcentral
CCUACGGGUGACAGCAGUGGGGAAUAUUGCGCAAUGGGCGAAAGCCUGAUGGAGCAACGCCGCGUGCAGGAUGAAGGCCUUCGGGUUGUAAACUGCUUUUAUAAGCGAGAAAUAUGAUGGUAACUUAUGAAUAAGGAUCGGCUAACUACGUGCCAGCAGCCGCGGUCAUACGUAGGAUCCGAGCAUUAUCCGGAGUGACUGGGUGUAAAGAGUUGCGUAGGUGGCAUAAUAAGUAGCUAGUGAAAUCUGGUGGCUCAACCAUUCAGACGAUUAGCUAAACUGUUAAGCUCGAGACCGUUAGGGGUAACUGGAAUUUCUAGUGUAGGAGUGAAAUCCGUAGAUAUUAGAAGGAACACCAAUAGCGUAGGCAGGUUGCUGGGACGGUUCUGACACUAAGGCACGAAAGCGUAGGGAGCAAACGGGAUUAGAUACCCGGGUAGUC